This 2843-nucleotide unclassified non-coding RNA is filed under the name Apis florea (little honeybee). RNAcentral describes it as "glutamyl aminopeptidase-like, transcript variant X1". Lineage: Eukaryota; Metazoa; Arthropoda; Insecta; Hymenoptera; Apidae. The record is from RNAcentral.
UUAAGUGGUAUUUGCAUCGUAGUUGAGACUUCAGUAAGCAAAGAAAAAAAAAAAAGAUUCGUUUCUCAAUUUAAACUCUGUGACACGAUAAAGAAAUCGUGUGGCUGAAACAAGGAAUCUUUGUUCUAGAAAUGACCGGCUGGCCAUUUAUCUUAAUUACAAUAGUCUUAAUGAAGACGAAAGAUUCUCGUGCGAUCAACGCCGAGGUUCCUUUCGAUAAUUUAAGUCCACGUUACAAUGAGUCUAUGGAAAUCGAGAAACGUCUCCCGGAAGAUGUAAUUCCCAAGAAAUAUGUGAUUACGAUUUCGCCUGAUUUUAAUAAAAAUGAAUUUCACGGUAACGUUCGUAUAGAUCUCGAAUUAUUAAAUAAUCGAAGUCACAUCGUUUUACACUCGAAGGAUUUAACCAUAUCGUCGACUAAAUUGUACAUAGAAAAACCGGAGACAGAAAUUCAAAUAGAAUCUAUCGUUAAGUUAAUGAAACGCGAAAUGUUGGUGAUCAACACUUAUAGAAAUAUCUCUGAGGGACGAUACUUUUUGAAAAUGGAUUUCACCGGUAAUCUGACCCAAAAAAUGACCGGAUUUUACUUGAGCACUUAUUUUGAUAAAUCAAUUAGAAAAUUAGCGGUGUCGCAAUUCGAGCCACUUUACGCCAGAACUGCGUUCCCUUGCUUCGACGAGCCAAAUUUCAAAGCGAUUUUCGUUAUUAAUAUCAUUUUUAAGAAAAUGUUUUUGUAUCAUGCACAAUCGAACAUGCCUCUUAAGAAAGUAGAGGCGGUGAAAGGCGAGGAAGACAAAGCAAUCGCACACUUCGAUCCUACGCCACCAAUGUCCACUUAUCUCGUUGGCUUUCUCGUGAGUGACUUCGAUUGUAUAGGAACCCAUAUGGAUCUCUUAAAUGGAAAUGAAAUACCAAUAACUGUUUGCGUGAGGCCUAUGUUCAAGCACAAAGUGGGAUACGCCUUGAACACCACAGUUAGAACGAUGAAGUAUCUCCUACACACGUUUCAGAUCGAUUAUCCCCUACCAAAGCUUGAUCUCGUCGCCAUACCCGAUUUCACGGCCGGCGCGAUGGAGAAUUGGGGUUUGGUCACGUUCCGUGAAACAGAGCUGCUUCACAGCGAAAACAGCUCUUGCGUCAAUACGAAAAGCGUAAGCUUGACGAUCGCUCACGAAUUGGCCCAUAUGUGGUUCGGCAAUCUGGUCACCAUGAAAUGGUGGGACGAUCUUUGGUUGAACGAAGGAUUCGCCACUUACAUGGAGCAUCUGACGAUCAAUUCUUUGUUCCCCGAUUGGAAUCUGAUGGAUUCCUUUCCUUUAUACACUAAAUACGUCUCUAUGAAACACGAUGUGAAACUGCGUGCUCGUCCUGUCGUGAAACGGAUCGAGGAUCCGGAAGAGAUAGAAGAGAUAUUCGAUCCGGUGACUUAUCAAAAGGCUGCGUCGGUGAUUAGGAUGCUCGAGGACGCUAUUGGCAAUGCCAGCUUGUUUUCUACUAUCAGACAGUAUCUGAAAACCUAUCAGUUUCGUAAUGCGGAUUCUCGAGAAUUCUUCGAUAUCCUGGCGAACAAUACGCGCUCCGCCAUCGAUAUCGUAGAUUUCGUCUCUCGAUGGAUGAGAUUCCCCGGAUUUCCGGUGGUCAACGUCCGCCGAAACAAAGCGGAUUUUCAACUGCUUCGACGACGCUUCGUGACGAGCAGACGACUCAAUGAAACGAUCGAUACAGGCUGGACCAUUCCCAUUAAAUACGUGACGAGCAGACAAAGAAAUAAAAUCAAACUGGAUUGGUUUCUUGCUAAUUAUUCUUGCGUGGAAUUAUCGGUGGGAAGAUCGGUGGAUUGGAUCAAAAUGAAUCACAAUUCGAUCGGUUAUUACAUUGUGAAUUACACGGAAGAUGCUUGGAACACGUUCAGCAAAUUACUAUCAACCAAUCAUUUAGCUUUGAAUGCCAUAAACAGGGCGGACUUGUUGCACGACGCUUUUCUUUUAGCGGAAACUGAUUUGAGCUACUUUAUAAUCAUGAACCUAACUUCUUAUCUAGUGAAGGAAAACGCUUAUCAGCCGUGGGUCGUUACUGUGGAAUGGUUCAACCAGAUGAACAGAUUGCUUUCAGGGACACCUCUGCUUAAACGUUUCCAAUCAUACGCGAAGAAUCUAAUCGACAAUGUUUAUCGCAAAAUCAAGUGGAAUUUUCAUUUAAAGGAUUCGUUUAAAGAAAGCUUGCAGCGUGGGCCACGAGGACUGCCUCGAGAGAGCCGGAAAAUGGUUGAAGAAUUUCCUGCAGAACGUCAAGCACGAACCGGUGCCGGUCGAUAUUCGGUCUAUCGUUUAUUCGUACGGCCUGUUUACGCGCGACGUUGGAUCGAUAUACAAGAAUAUGUCGCAACGACUGAAGAUGGAGCAAGAUGUACAGGAAAAGGAACGUAUGAUGAUCGGAUUGACUGGAUGUCUGGACAAAGAUAUUCUUAAACGAUAUCUCACGCAAGCAUUGGACGAGAAAUUCAUUCGUAAGCAAGAUUUUGCCACGUUGCUGAUCAAGAUUGCCUUGAAUCCUGUGGGAGUGGACGUUGCCUGGAAUUUCGUAAAGGAAAACUGGAUAAAGCUACGCGAAAAAUACAAAACGAACGACUACAUUUUAGGAAAGCUUAUCUGCGGGAUCUUAUCUUUGUUCAAGGAUCGUCAAAAGUUACAGGAGGCAAGAAAAUUCUUUUUGAAAAAUAAUGAUUUAAAAAUAACCAUGAGCAUGAAGAGAAACACUAUCGAAGAUAUAGAAAACAAUAUCGAUUGGAUGGAUACAAAUAUGCAAAUGAUCGAACAAUGGCUGCACUCUCGUGGAUUCAAUUA